UACGAAGGGGGCUAGCGUUGCUCGGAAUCACUGGGCGUAAGGGGUGCGUAGGCGGGUCUUUAAGUCAGGGGUGAAAUCCUGGAGCUCAACUCCAGAACUGCCUUUGAUACUGAAGAUCUUGAGUUCGGGAGAGGUGAGUGGAACUGCGAGUGUAGAGGUGAAAUUCGUAGAUAUUCGCAAGAACACCAGUGGCGAAGGCGGCUCACUGGCCCGAUACUGACGCUGAUGCACGAAAGCGUGGGGAGCAAACAGG
Molecule: ribosomal RNA, 253 nt
Filed under: uncultured bacterium
Lineage: Bacteria
Description: partial 16S ribosomal RNA
Rfam family: Bacterial small subunit ribosomal RNA
Source: RNAcentral